This 298-nucleotide long non-coding RNA is filed under the name Homo sapiens (human). Its description in RNAcentral is "non-protein coding lnc-ADAMTS20-4:1". The record is from RNAcentral. Lineage: Eukaryota; Metazoa; Chordata; Mammalia; Primates; Hominidae.
UUAUGAUGACUAGCAAAAUGGCAACUGCCAGCAGGAUGGUUCAGGUACUUAAAUUACAUACUCCAUUAAUAAGGUUCCCUGACAGAGAGACCAUUCUAAGCCCAAUACAUCAGAAGCUUUGAGAUCAGCAGGACUAUUAUCUCACUCCUCUUCAAUUUCACAGAUUCUAAGAAAAGCAAAUCACCAGCUUUGCUUACACAUCAGGGUCUGCCAGACACUGCAGAAAUAAUAAAAACACUACCUCAGAAGAAAUUUAUGUCUCAAGAAGAAAUCAAAUUUAUCCAAUGUGGACUGCUGU